UGCAUGGAGCCGACCUUGAAAUACCACCCUUUAAUGUUUGAUGUUCUAACGUUGGCCCGUAAUCCGGGUUGCGGACAGUGUCUGGUGGGUAGUUUGACUGGGGCGGUCUCCUCCUAAAGAGUAACGGAGGAGCACGAAGGUUGGCUAAUCCUGGUCGGACAUCAGGAGGUUAGUGCAAUGGCAUAAGCCAGCUUGACUGCGAGCGUGACGGCGCGAGCAGGUGCGAAAGCAGGUCAUAGUGAUCCGGUGGUUCUGAAUGGAAGGGCCAUCGCUCAACGGAUAAAAGGUACUCCGGGGAUAACAGGCUGAUACCGCCCAAGAGUUCAUAUCGACGGCGGUGUUUGGCACCUCGAUGUCGGCUCAUCACAUCCUGGGGCUGAAGUAGGUCCCAAGGGUAUGGCUGUUCGCCAUUUAAAGUGGUACGCGAGCUGGGUUUAGAACGUCGUGAGACAGUUCGGUCCCUAUCUGCCGUGGGCGCUGGAGAACUGAGGGGGGCUGCUCCUAGUACGAGAGGACCGGAGUGGACGCAUCACUGGUGUUCGGGUUGUCAUGCCAAUGGCACUGCCCGGUAGCUAAAUGCGGAAGAGAUAAGUGCUGAAAGCAUCUAAGCACGAAACUUGCCCCGAGAUG
Molecule: ribosomal RNA, 630 nt
Filed under: Escherichia coli
Lineage: Bacteria; Pseudomonadati; Pseudomonadota; Gammaproteobacteria; Enterobacterales; Enterobacteriaceae
Description: partial 23S ribosomal RNA
Rfam family: Bacterial large subunit ribosomal RNA
Source: RNAcentral